This 29-nucleotide non-coding RNA is filed under the name Mus musculus (house mouse). Lineage: Eukaryota; Metazoa; Chordata; Mammalia; Rodentia; Muridae. The record is from RNAcentral.
UAAGUGAUCACAGAAAUGGACUACUGAAU